UAAAUUUAAAUGUUUGGCCUUAUAUGAUGGUAUUGACAGUGUAUAUAUAUAUUAAACUGUAAACUGUCUAGGUGGGUGAUGAGUGGGUCAAGACACCGAAGAAUGGAGGCGGUUAGACUGAGGAAGGAAAACCAAAUCUAUUCUGCAGAUGAAAAGAGAGCACUUGCAAUGUUCAGCAAGGAGGAGAGGUUGAAGAGAGAAAACAAGAUCCUGGGACAGUUUAGGGAAAUGGUUCAUGAGAAGCUGAAGAAAUAGAGAAGACGACAUUUUCUCAUCUGUAUUCAUUAACGUAUUAAUAAACAUUAAUUCAUUGAA
Eurytemora carolleeae is the source of this 315-nucleotide long non-coding RNA. RefSeq lists it as uncharacterized. Lineage: Eukaryota; Metazoa; Arthropoda; Copepoda; Calanoida; Temoridae. The transcript has 2 exons. The record is from RefSeq and is a predicted model, not a curated record.